Molecule: RNA transcript, 1602 nt
Organism: Gossypium raimondii (Peruvian cotton)
Lineage: Eukaryota; Viridiplantae; Streptophyta; Magnoliopsida; Malvales; Malvaceae
Gene name: peroxidase 31
Exons: 3
Source: RefSeq, a predicted model, not a curated record
AUCCAGUGCCCAGUCCCACGCAGCUCAAAGCUUAAAAGUAGCCUUCCCCAUCUCUCUCUUCCUUUACUCUUUUUCUUCCAAACCUCAGCUUAAUUCAGCUGAAAAUGGCACCUUCAUCUCUGCCACAAACACCGCCGUCCGCCGUGGUUAUUGUCCUCUUCUUACUCUUCUCCACGGCAUUGCUUUGUGAAUCAAGGUUAAGCUUAGAUUACUACUCCAAAACCUGUCCCAGUUUCACCAAAAUCAUGCAAGACACCAUAACCAACAAGCAAAUCACCAGCCCCACAACCGCCGCCGGUGCACUCCGUCUAUUUUUCCACGACUGUCUUCCCAACGGUUGCGAUGGUUCCAUCCUCAUAUCUUCCACCGCAUUCAACAAAGCUGAACGUGAUGCCGACAUCAACUUAUCUCUCCCUGGAGAUCCAUUUGACCUCAUUGUUCGAGCCAAAACAGCCCUUGAACUCGCCUGUCCCAACACCGUCUCUUGCUCCGACAUCCUCGCCGUCGCUACUCGUGACUUAGUCACCAUGCUUGGUGGACCGUACUACAAUGUUUAUCUGGGUCGCAAAGAUUCACGAGUUUCAUCAGCUUCUUCACUAGAAGGGAAGUUACCUAAACCCACCAUGAGUAUGUCACAACUUAUAAAUCUUUUCUCUUCAAGUGGGUUCACUGUUCAAGAAAUGGUGGCUUUAAGUGGAGCGCAUACAAUUGGGUUUUCUCAUUGCAAAGAGUUUAGCUCAAAUAUAAGCAAUGAUACCCAUUAUAAUCCUAGAUUUGCUCAAGCAUUGAAACAAGCUUGUUCAGGUUAUCCAAAUAACCCAACAUUAUCAGUUUUUAAUGAUAUUAUGACCCCCAACAAAUUUGAUAACUUGUAUUAUCAAAAUCUACCAAAGGGUUUGGGGCUUUUGGAAUCAGAUCAUGGAUUGUAUGGUGAUCCCAGAACAAAACCAUUUGUGGAAUUGUAUGCAAGGGAUCAAAACAAGUUCUUUCAAGAUUUCGCUAAAGCUAUGCAGAAGCUAAGUGUUUAUGGGAUCAAAACUGGGAGAAGAGGAGAGAUUAGACACAGAAUUCAACUGCCAAUGAAAGAAACCAUUUUCCAAGAAAUCAAUCUGAUUUUAAAACUAUUUUGAGGAUUGGAACUUGAUCAAUUCAAUUUCUUCAAGGUUUGAGCUUAAAGUUAUGAGCUGGAAAUGCCGGAACUUGAUCAAUUCAAUUUCUUCAAGGUUUGAGCUUAAAGUUAUGAACUGGAAAUGCCUUAUCACCAUCCCACCUAGGUUGUUUGCUGAAGGUUUAUGAUGGAUGGUGGAUUAUGCUACUUUGAUGGUUUGCUAUUACUAAUGCUAUGACUAAUGUUGCUUUGAUGAUUAAUGUUCAUUGCUGGUGUCUCUUAGGAGGAGUUUAAGUUUAAGAUUUUUUUUUUUUAUACUUUCCUUGCUUGAGAGAAUUUGUUGCAAUUUUAGUGUUGUCAAAUGUAACUCACUUUGCAACUAGACACAAUGUAACUUGCCUAUUUUGACAUUUAAAGGAUGUUGUGCAAAAGUUUUCAUGGUUAUUAGUGGUGAAGCUAUUUAAUCAAUUAAGGAUAUUUUGAAGAGUUCUUAA